AGAGUGAACGCUGGCGGCAGGCCUAACACAUGCAAGUCGAACGGCAGCACAGUAAGAGCUUGCUCUUAUGGGUGGCGAGUGGCGGACGGGUGAGGAAUACAUCGGAAUCUGCCUAUUUGUGGGGGAUAACGUAGGGAAACUUACGCUAAUACCGCAUACGACCUACGGGUGAAAGCGGAGGACCUUCGGGCUUCGCGCAGAUAGAUGACGCCGAUGUCGGAUUAGCUAGUUGGUGGGGUAAACGGCCCACCAAGGCGACGAUCCGUAGCUGGUCUGAGAGGAUGAU
RNAcentral lists this ribosomal RNA (286 nucleotides) under uncultured soil bacterium. RNAcentral's name for it is "partial 16S ribosomal RNA". It matches the Rfam family "Bacterial small subunit ribosomal RNA", at positions 26 to 304 of the family's 1533-position model. The record is from RNAcentral.